This 29-nucleotide non-coding RNA is filed under the name Mus musculus (house mouse). Lineage: Eukaryota; Metazoa; Chordata; Mammalia; Rodentia; Muridae. The record is from RNAcentral.
CACUGCAGUGGGAUCGCCUCUGGGUGCUU